AUGUUUCUGAUUUGGGUUACACUCUGAAACCCUCGGUUUCGACGAAGGAUCGGACUGGGAAGAAUAUAAAGUUCAAUUCGAAACAAUUUCGCGAGCGAAUCAUUGGGAUGGACCAAAGAGAGCUUUGGCUUUGGUUUCAUCGUUGGAGGGACCGGCACGAAGUGUUUUAACUGCUCUACCUGCUGACAAACGUUACGAUUACGAGUCGUUAAUUUCGGCUUUAGAAUUCCGAUAUGGAAUUAAAAAUUUUGCCAAUCUGAAUUAUGUAAAGUUCCAAAAUUACAAGCAACAGAGAGGGCAGUCUAUUUCUGAAUUGGCCACUGUUUCCUAUUUUUUGGUCCUAUUGGUCCUGAAGAAGGUGGCUUCGCGUGAGAUUAACUCCACCAUGAAGCGUCCUCAGGUGAGCUUUCUUAACAAGGAGGACAGCCAAGUGUGACUGCCUCCCAAUAAUUAUGGGAUGUCGCUGAUCUGUCGUGAGUGGAGCGUUCUGCAACCUGCCGCCUACCCGUAGAAGCCCCGACCGAUUCAGAAAUGGAUUUAACGCUGCGAAGGAAGACGACUUGCUAACUGAGUUUCCUUUUAAAAGAUUAAACCUUUCUUGAGCAAAGGUCUCCUCCUAACUCAGCCUACAUACACCGAUUUUCGCGUCAUUUAACUCCUCCACCCCAAGAGCUCCAGUUUUCUUAAUUCGAGGGUGUCGAGUAUUGAAAGCGAAGCGAACGAUGUAUGCCGUUACUAGGAUGAGUCUCGAAAAUGAUGAAAAUCGACCCAGAAUCUAACGAUGAGCGAGGCCACUCAGAAGACGAUUUUCUUAACCAAGUGGGUCCAUGCUCCCACAAGGAAAAUGUUUCAAGAACAUCGAAAGGAACUCCUCUCGUGGCUAAAUCGGCAGGAUUAUCUGAUUAUCUGAUUAUCCUAUGAGCGACAAACGGUUUCCAUUAAGAUGGGUGUUCUUGCAGCCAAGUGAGAGACAACUUGCUUCAAACCUAAGCCAUCCCUUAUUGAGAUUAGCAAGCGCGCGAGCAGCAAGGCUCCGCAUAACUCUAAGCGUGUCGCUUGGCAGUGAUGGAUCACUGGAGGCCCAUUUAUCCAACGAAAAACCACCAGUCUCCAGGAUGUUGACCAGCUGCGUCGCGACUGAUAACAUUUGGUCAGAAGAGUCUGCCCCGGCGAGAAGGUCGUCGACGUAGCUGUGUUGACGAAGAACUUCAGCGCCCAACGGAAAACGAGAUUGCUCGUCUGUGGCCAGCUGUUUAAGGACUCGUAGGGCGAGACCGAAUGGUGAGGUAGGUACUAACCUUGGUCCUCCACCUGAUGCGACACCGCCUCCAUAUGACCUAAAGAGGCAUAUUCAGUCAUGAAAGAGGAAUAGUGAUCCCUCAAGACCAGAUCCCGAACUAGACGACGCUCAACACUAAGCAGAACGCGAAGAGCGAUGGGUCUGGAUUGGCACAAGCACAAUUCUUCCGGAGUGAGAGGAGAUGGACCCGAUGGCACCUCUUCCAGUUUCCAAAACCGUUUAAGGUCCAGCUGAACCUGGUUAUCCUGACGAACGAGCAAGACAGUGCGAGACGAACUAUCUAUGAAAGAGGAAGCCUUGGACCCGAUUGGGCCAAGAAGUACCCAGCCAAAUGGAGUACUCACAGCGACAGGCGAACCGGGAGGACCUACGCGCCUUUCCUGGAAAAGUUGACCACAGACAUCAGCGCCAAUUACUGCCUGCGAUGGAGUCGGAGCAAUCAGACUUUUAGAAACAAGUGCGUCAAGGGCUACCUGAAAAGAGCCCGACUGGAACACCCUGAUAGACUGUAAGCGGUACAUGCACCGAGCGACAUUGGGCGAUAUUGGGCAGCAAUAUUGGGCAGCUCGCUCUGAGAUGAACGAAGACUCCGACCCUGAAUCGAUAAGAGGUCUUACCUGGAGAGAUCUUCCAUCAAAGGAUUCCAAACGGACUUGAGCCGUUGCGAGAAGGACUACUCGUUUGACGCAAACCGAAUAAGAAGCGGUGGCAGAAGACGAGCUAGCCGUAGGAGAAGCAGUGAAGGAAGAAUCUCGAUCGUGAGUACUACUCCCCUUCAUGGCAUCAUGAAGCGUUGUGUGAUGUUUGGAGCUGCAAACGAGACAACGAUG
Molecule: long non-coding RNA, 2130 nt
Organism: Hylaeus volcanicus
Lineage: Eukaryota; Metazoa; Arthropoda; Insecta; Hymenoptera; Colletidae
Exons: 6
Source: RefSeq, a predicted model, not a curated record